UGGCUCUUGCAAAGAUUGGAUCUAAAAGGGGGGACCUUCUUUCUGGAGGAAUUCUGCACCGACUUUGCAGCAGCUCCUGGCUUCAGUUUUCCUGCAGCUAACGGGAAAGUUGCAAAAACUGGUUCCCCAUCUGUAAGAACUUGCGGUUUCAUUUUUUUUUAACUUUCCAAUCUGUUCUUUUCAAUUUGGAAACCAUUUCAGAUCAGGGGCUGCCCCAGAACCCCAGGCUAGCUCGGGAUAAAUUGAUAGUCAGUGGACGCUGCGUGUUGAACUAUAAGAACUUUUGUCCUCUGAGAACCAAAAAUCUACUUCUGGGAUGAAAAGCGCCCUCACUUCUGAUUUUCAGGACUGUGAAAGUUGGAUUCCUUUGUGAACAUCUGGAACAGUGGGCACAGCUGCAUUUCAUUGGGAACAGAAGCACACAGAGAGCCUGGGGCAAGGCACACAGCUGGAUUCAGAGCCUCUAAGUUCCUGAUGUACUGGCAAAGCAUCAAGGGUCACUAUGGAAGCUGCUCAUCCCAUCAUCACUCGCCUUGGAAGGGACUUCUGGGCACCACAGGUUCUUAUCAUUCACUUUGUGGACAACGAUCGCAUUACUUACAAAGAGAAAACAUUACAGAAACUGAGAGAUGAAGAAAAGAGAAAAGCAACAAGCAGAGGGAGUGAUCAAAUGUCCUAUUUUAUAUGGGGAUGUUCUAUACUUUGACUCACUCACGUUUGCUUCCAAAUAGAGCCGAAUCCUUCAAUAUGAGCAAAGGCAACAUCCCUAUUAACAUCAAUGGGGGGAAAAGAUUGUUGCCUCUGCCAGGAGUGCAAAACUGGGCACAAAUCUCAACCUGUCUCCAUGACACAGG
Non-coding RNA from Chelonoidis abingdonii (Abingdon island giant tortoise), 854 nucleotides. The record is from RefSeq and is a predicted model, not a curated record. NCBI's taxonomy places the organism in Eukaryota, Metazoa, Chordata, Testudines, Testudinidae.